UAGGAGAAUAGCUUAAUUUGGUAAAGCUUUGGUUUUCAAAACUAAUGUUGUGGGUUCGAGUCCCUCUUCUCUUGA
Molecule: transfer RNA, 75 nt
Filed under: Gredgaria maugeana
Lineage: Eukaryota; Rhodophyta; Florideophyceae; Ceramiales; Rhodomelaceae
Description: tRNA-Trp
Rfam family: tRNA
About the family: Transfer RNA (tRNA) molecules are approximately 80 nucleotides in length. Their secondary structure includes four short double-helical elements and three loops (D, anti-codon, and T loops).
Source: RNAcentral